AACUUCCGUUAAUUGAUUAUGACGUACUUGUACUGAUUGAGAUUUUAACACGAAGUGAGUGGCGAACGGGUGAGUAACACGUGGGUAACCUGCCCAGAAGUAGGGGAUAACACCUGGAAACAGAUGCUAAUACCGUAUAACAGAGAAAACCGCAUGGUUUUCUUUUAAAAGAUGGCUCUGCUAUCACUUCUGGAUGGACCCGCGGCGUAUUAGCUAGUUGGUGAGGUAAAGGCUCACCAAGGCAGUGAUACGUAGCCGACCUGAGAGGGUAAUCGGCCACAUUGGGACUGAGACACGGCCCAGACUCCUACGGGAGGCAGCAGUAGGGAAUCUUCCACAAUGGACGCAAGUCUGAUGGAGCAACGCCGCGUGAGUGAAGAAGGGUUUCGGCUCGUAAAGCUCUGUUGUUAAAGAAGAACGUGGGUAAGAGUAACUGUUUACCCAGUGACGGUAUUUAACCAGAAAGCCACGGCUAACUACGUGCCAGCAGCCGCGGUAAUACGUAGGUGGCAAGCGUUAUCCGGAUUUAUUGGGCGUAAAGCGAGCGCAGGCGGUCUUUUAAGUCUAAUGUGAAAGCCUUCGGCUCAACCGAAGAAGUGCAUUGGAAACUGGGAGACUUGAGUGCAGAAGAGGACAGUGGAACUCCAUGUGUAGCGGUGAAAUGCGUAGAUAUAUGGAAGAACACCAGUGGCGAAGGCGGCUGUCUGGUCUGCAACUGACGCUGAGGCUCGAAAGCAUGGGUAGCGAACAGGAUUAGAUACCCUGGUAGUCCAUGCCGUAAACGAUGAUUACUAAGUGUUGGAGGGUUUCCGCCCUUCAGUGCUGCAGCUAACGCAUUAAGUAAUCCGCCUGGG
Molecule: ribosomal RNA, 854 nt
Filed under: Pediococcus pentosaceus
Lineage: Bacteria; Bacillati; Bacillota; Bacilli; Lactobacillales; Lactobacillaceae
Description: bacterial SSU rRNA
Rfam family: Bacterial small subunit ribosomal RNA
Source: RNAcentral